This 253-nucleotide ribosomal RNA is filed under the name uncultured bacterium. RNAcentral's name for it is "partial 16S ribosomal RNA". It matches the Rfam family "Bacterial small subunit ribosomal RNA", at positions 524 to 776 of the family's 1533-position model. The record is from RNAcentral.
UACGUAGGACCCGAGCGUUGUCCGGAAUCACUGGGUGUAAAGGGAGCGCAGGCGGACUUGCAAGUCGAUGGUGAAAUCUUACGGCUCAACCGUAAAACUGCCGUCGAUACUGCUUGUCUUGAGUGUGGAAGAGGGUGGCAGAAUUCAUGGUGUAGCGGUGAAAUGCGUAGAUAUCAUGAAGAAUACCGGUCGCGAAGGCGGCCACCUGGUCCAUUACUGACGCUCAUGCUCGAAAGCGUGGGGAGCAAACAGG